GUCAGCAGCCGCGGGAACACCGGCGGCCCGAGUGGUGAUCGUGAUUAUUGGGUCUAAAGGGUCCGUAGCCGGUUUGGUCAGUCCUCCGGGAAAUCUGAUAGCUCAACUAUUAGGCUUUCGGGGGAUACUGCCAGACUUGGAACCGGGAGAGGUAAGAGGUACUACAGGGGUAGGAGUGAAAUCUUGUAAUCCCUGUGGGACCACCUGUGGCGAAGGCGUCUUACCAGAACGGGUUCGACGGUGAGGGACGAAAGCUGGGGGCACGAACCGGAUUAGAUACCCGGGUAGUCCCAGCCGUAAACGAUGCUCGCUAGGUGUCAGGCAUGGCGCGACCGUGUCUGGUGCCGCAGGGAAGCCGUGAAGCGAGCCACCUGGGAAGUACGGCCGCAAGGCUGAAACUUAAAGGAAUUGGCGGGGGAGCACAACAACGGGUGGAGCCUGCGGUUUAAUUGGACUCAACGCCGGACAACUCACCGGGGGCGACAGCAAUAUGUAGGCCAAGCUGAAGACUUUGCCUGAAUCGCUGAGGAGUGGUGGUGCAUGG
This 544-nucleotide ribosomal RNA is filed under the name uncultured archaeon. Its description in RNAcentral is "bacterial SSU rRNA". It matches the Rfam family "Archaeal small subunit ribosomal RNA", at positions 457 to 997 of the family's 1478-position model. The record is from RNAcentral.